This is a long non-coding RNA of Micropterus salmoides (largemouth bass), 3609 nucleotides long. RefSeq lists it as uncharacterized. The transcript is spliced from 3 exons. The record is from RefSeq and is a predicted model, not a curated record. Lineage: Eukaryota; Metazoa; Chordata; Actinopteri; Centrarchiformes; Centrarchidae.
AAGAGGAAGAUUAACAAAUUAGCAGUGGGGUUUCUUCUCUUUAACAAAUAUCAGAAGAAAAGAGAAAUUCCUAUGUCUAGCUGGUGUUUUGUCAGAUGUGUAAAUCUGAUCCAAUGUUGAGGCUGGGCAGUCCGAGACACCUGACUACCUAACUGAGUGACUGGCUGCAAUAAGCACUGGCCCCUGAGGGGCCCCUCAGAAAAUGAGCAUCAGUCCUCAGGGGGUUACAGAGGUUCAACUGGUUAGACUGAGCUUCUUAUAAAACACCAGGGAGUUUUCCCCAGCUUUGUCCCUGCCACAUCACCCAGUAUAAUCUGCCCAAGUUUCAGUGGUCCUGACACAGUCAGCUGACUGGUUUUCAGAGUGGGGGGUUGGGAGGUCAUGCAGAAACCACACAGACAUUUAUAAGGCUUACAUUAUGAAUGGGCUGAUGCAGUUAAGAGCCAUAUUGUGAACAUAAAGGAUCAUAAUUGCACUUGGAUAACUCAAAUCAUGUUGAGAUCAUUUGGCAGCCUGCAGAUUUUCCACACUUUGCUGCUCUCAUCCUCUCUAACGGUGAACAACAAAACAUCUCUCACAGCCCAUAGCAAUUAGUAGAAGUUGGGUAUUCGCCAUAACGCACAAAGACAUGUUUGGUCAUAAACACGUGAUACAUCGUAUCUCAUAGAUAUGUUAAUGUUAAACCACACCAUCAUUGACAAUUAUUGCUUAUCAACUGGACACAGUUUCUUCAUAGGAGACUCUUUCACCGCGAGUAACUUCACGGGACGCAGGCAGCUUGGCUGAACAUGAGGGGCCUCUUAAGAAUAUUUUGGGGCUCCUUUUCACUGACCUGCUGUCAUCAUCGCAACAGAGAGCAGAUAAGAAAGAGAGAAUACAGACGAGACACCAAGACCUGCAUCAAGCAAUAUUCCUUUUGAUAUUUAUGUCCCUGGACCGUGCCUGCCUUUUGGAUUUAGGAUUUUGCCUGCUCCCUAUUGGAUUUGUUUGCCUGUUUGGCUCUGUCUUUGGCAAAGCCUUGGCUGAGGAAGUCCACCAUGCAGAUAUGGAAUUCCAAUGCCAAGAAUAUGAGGAAAAGUUUGUGAGCCUGUAAUCUUCCUGUCCUGAACCAGUUAACCCACUACCAUCCUGAUCCUGUCAGUCCUGAGUUGACUAGCUUCCUGCCUGAUUCCACCUCCAAUGAGUUUCCUUUCUGGAAACCUGGACCUGGCUAGCCCUCGAGAUGGUGGCACAAGAGCACCCAAGAGUCUGCCCAGCAAUACAGAGGCCCAGGCCCCCAGCUCCUCGUUCACCUUUGUCACCAGCCUCCAAAGGGGUUCCUGCCCAUCCUCCACCGCUCAGCAUCCAGGCCAUCAUCCAGAGGUGCUCCGUCCUUAGGUCCUGCCUCCUGGACACCAACCCCCUGGGAUAUGUGUAUGUCUUUUUAACUUUUGUACUGUGUAUUGUCCUUUGUGCUGUCCAUUGCUGUGUUUGACUAUGUCUUAACUUUUGUAUUGUCCUGUGUGCUGUCUUUUGUUGUGUUGCUCUUGGACUGCGAAACAGUUGCCCUCUGGGAUCAUAAAGUUUGAACUUGAACAUGAACAUACAAACACACAGGCUGUGCUCCCCCAGCAGCUGGUUUCAUUAGCUGUUACCUUUCUGUGAACACGACCACAUUUUCCUUGAAAAAUAGUGACUGCAUUUGUUUUCCCACCACUGCUGCUGCAGUUCAGAUUCUGUGGUCCUUGUCUUUUAAAGGGGAGAGACUCAGUUGUGGUGACAAGGGGGGGAUGAAGAUUAGAGGGAAUGCCAGAACUCCACAGCAAAAAUUUGUUGUUGCCAGCAGUGAUGGAAAGCAGACAAGCAGAAACUCCUGCUCAAUGUUUGGACAUAUCUUGAAUCUUGUGUGCUUCCGAGACUUAAUUCCUACGCUUAUUUCUAGGAAUGGCACAUGAUUGCAUGUUGCACAUGUCCAGAUUUACAAAAGAGUAAAGUCUGAGUAUUCCCUCAUGGUGUGUCUUGUUGAUCCAAAAAAACAUAUUCUGUGAGCAGAAUGUUUUAGGGCAUAAAGUUCAUUCAUUGUUUUUUGUACAGCUAGUUCUUAUUGAAAGGCUCACACUGGAGGAUAAAUUUGUUCUUUAUUUAUUCACUGAUCUGAAAACUAAAAUGCUAAAAGUCAUCUUUGUGGAUUCAACAAAACUUGUCCACUAAUAACACAAAGUCACGAGUGAAUGUUUCCUCAGUGACCACAUUGAGAAAAGACCGAUGUUCGUAUGUAUCUUCAUCUAUGUAUGUUCCACUUUGCUAAGUUUGUAUUUAACACAUCUGUCUCAUUCUCAUCUGUCAUACACAAGUGUUAUCGGGGCAACAUGAUGCUGAUAGUUGCACAUUACUGGGUGUCAUAGACAUGUGACUGAAUUUCAGUGUUGCACCAGCUGUCAGCAGGUGCAGUGUAAAUUUUAACAAAACCUUUUACUGCUUUUGUAAUUAGUACUGAGUACUGAAAAGCCAGUGGAUCUCAGAGGGCAAUAAGAAAUUCACAAUGUUGAUAAUUAAAGGGAAUAAAGUUAUGUUGUGUAUUGAGAGAUCUUUAAGAAAGGUUCAUUGCCAAGUUUGAUGAUUAGAAGAAGACUGUGAUUGUGCGUAAUUAUUUCUUUAGAAUCCCAAUUUUUAAAAGGUUUUGGAAAGUCAAGUGAACAUUUUUCUUUGGAAGUCUGAGUCACUUGAGGAUCUGAUCAAUUAGAAAAAAAAGAAAUGGAAACAGCUGUCCUCCUGAGAAGCAGAUAAGCCUUUUUAAGUGUAAUCAAAAAUCAAAGGGUUAGUUACCUGUAAUACAAUUUUCCACUUCAUUGACUUUGUCCAAAUCCUGACUGUUGCUCAAUUCCUUUCCUGCCUUUAAACAGUCGAGUGGGAGUCUCUUUCAGAGAAACUAAUCCACAAACUAAAAGAAUCAUCAUACAACAUGUCUCUUUCUGAGUCAUGUAAAUGGGUUCUGUGUUACGUAAUAUGUUUUGAAUAUUUAGCAAUGCUGGCUUUUUGAUAACAACCAGCUACAAUCCUGUGCUAUUAAAUGUUGUAUGUUGGCUUUAAAUGGCUUUGGGUGCUGAUCUACAACAACCUUUGUGUUUGACAAGUAUAACUGUUAAUAGAAUUGUAAGCCACGUGGGACAGUUAGUUCAGCUGAACAAUAUCAAUAAAAAUGUCGGGCUGGUCACCACUAGUGGCAACGCAGAGAGAGCAUUGUUUUGACGGGCGCCUUGCCGGUAUAGAGUACACCGUGUCUACAGAGGCUGCGUAGUGAAAGCAGCACAUCAGCAGGGCAGCAGUAGAGUCCAACACACAAGUGUUGUAGUUCUACUCAUGAAACAGAACUUAAAGCGUAAAACAAGUGAAACAUGAGCCUGUGUAAACAGGUGUAUUGCUUAAAAACACAUCUGUUCUAGCAGAUGUGUGUGACAUCGAUGACAAAAACAGGGGUGAAAGGGCUUCUGUGAAGACAAGCAGUCACAUUUAAUGCUUGUACCUCAGUUACUGUAGAUAUGACAGCUUCUCUAGAUGUAUUCUUGUACAAGCUGCUUUGUUUAUCUUGUACUUAAUCAUCGCAUAAUGCCAUUAAAACUAAUUUUGAGU